This 497-nucleotide ribosomal RNA is filed under the name uncultured bacterium. Its description in RNAcentral is "partial 16S ribosomal RNA". It matches the Rfam family "Bacterial small subunit ribosomal RNA", at positions 28 to 507 of the family's 1533-position model. The record is from RNAcentral.
GAUGAACGCUGGCGGCGUGCCUAAUACAUGCAAGUCGAGCGGACAGACGAGUACCGUGCUACUCGAAUGUUAACGGGGGACGGGAGAGUAACAUGUGGUGAACCUACCUCUAAGACAGGGAUGAGUUCGGGGAACCGGUGCUGGUAAGGGAUGAACUUUUGAACGGGAGGGUGCAAGAGUGUAAGGUGGUGGUGGUGUCCGCUAUAGAUGAGUCCGCGCGGCAUGAGCUAGUUGGUAAGGUAACGGCUUAGCAAGGCGACGAUGCACAGCCGACCUGAGAGGGUGAUCGGCCACACUGGAACUGGGCCGCGGUCCAGACUCCUACGGGAGGCCGCAGUAGGGACUCUUGCGCGAUGGGCGAAAGCCUGACGGAGCAACGCCGCGCUAGUGAUGCAGGGCUUCGGAUCGUAAAACUCUGUUAUUGGGGAAGAACAUAUGUGUAAGUAACUAUGCGCGUCUUGACGGUACCUAGUCAGAAAGCCCCGGCUAACUACGUG